Coniella lustricola is the source of this 81-nucleotide non-coding RNA. The record is from the annotation of a GenBank genome assembly. NCBI's taxonomy places the organism in Eukaryota, Fungi, Ascomycota, Sordariomycetes, Diaporthales, Schizoparmaceae.
GCGUCGAUGGGGUAAGGGUAACCUUAGAGAUUCCCAACCGUGGAACUUCUCUAGCUCCGGGUUCGAGUCCCGGUCGACGCA